CUGGGAUUAAAGGGGUGAGCCACUGUACCUGGCAACACCUUUAAAAAUUUCUUCACCCACCUAUCCACCUUUAAAGUUGUUCUUUGAGGGCUUUCAGGAAUGAGGUUAAUCCAAAUAGGAUAAGGCAGUUUUGUUCCCAGGAAGUAUUUAACACACUGGUUCUCAACUUUCCUACACAUUAGAAUCACCUCGGGGAGGUUUGUGAAAAUGCAGAUUGCUGGUCUCCACUCCCAUCCAAUUCAGUAGGUCCGAGCUGAAGUCUGAGAAUUUGCAAUUGUAACAACCUCCCAGAUGACACUGCUGGUCUGGGAAAUCACACUUUGAAAACCACUGAACAAAUUGUCAAAAAAUAAUUGCUGACAGUCAGUAAUGUAAUAAAUCCAUUAGCCCCCUCCAGCCAAGGAGGGAAGACUGGGUAAAGAAGCCAUAGACGGUGGCAGUGACCGGGGUCAAAAGAUGUUGCCACUAUGGGGUUGUUCCUAGGUAUCUAUGGAGUAGCAUACCAAAAAGGCCAGAAUUUUCUGUUGGGUAUUGCUGCUCAUCUAGAAAACACCAGCUACCAAUAGAUGUCCUCUCUGUGCCGAAAUACUGCUUACCUCAGGGGAUAUUGGCUUGCUUGCUUCCUUUUCUGCCACCGCCCUCCCCCACACCCCCCACCAUGCAAAUCCCCCUGGGAAAGAAGAAAGUUGGACAGGAACAAGAUAGGUUAGACACUUACAAAUCAACUCAUCAACAAGUCACAGAAGGCAUAAUUUUAAUUCUGAAAGAGAAUAUAAAUCCUAUGAGCCCUGGCAAUGUCCACAUUGAAAUUUAUGACAAUAGUUUGGGAGGUGGAAGCAGAGAAAGAGACCUGAUGGGCGUGUGGGAACCCUACUAUUAAAUAGCACAGAGGGAAGAGGAACUGUUUUAAGGUGAAAGACUACAGAAUAAAGUUUUGAGAAUAUUA
This is a long non-coding RNA of Homo sapiens (human), 946 nucleotides long. RefSeq annotates it as ERG-positive prostate cancer associated androgen responsive transcript. The record is from RefSeq and is a predicted model, not a curated record. NCBI's taxonomy places the organism in Eukaryota, Metazoa, Chordata, Mammalia, Primates, Hominidae. The transcript is spliced from 4 exons.